RNAcentral lists this long non-coding RNA (1017 nucleotides) under Heterocephalus glaber (naked mole-rat). RNAcentral's name for it is "lncRNA (ENSHGLG00000049670.1)". The record is from RNAcentral. Lineage: Eukaryota; Metazoa; Chordata; Mammalia; Rodentia; Bathyergidae.
AAUUGUUUUAAAAAGAAAAUACUCAUGGAGUAGAUAAGACAAAAGAAUCUAGAAAUAGAGAAGCUGGCAGUGACCAUAGCUGUUAAUAGCAAACCCCUUCCCACUUGAGAAGAGGAUGUCGUGGCACUUUGGGCCCCUGGAACUGGACAAGACCUCAAGAAAGGAAGGGUUGAAUCGUUAUAAAAACCCAGCUUCUGUUCUUAUGGAUGGUCUCUCGUGAUUUGUGAGAAACUUUCACUUCGGUUCUCAGCAUUAUUUAAUCUUGGCUACAGUCCAGUGAUGAACAUCUUGAGAUAUUCAUGAGGAUGAAAGCUGAAUUCAGUGCAAAAUAAUUUAACCCUUUGUGGCCCUCUGUCUUUCAAAUCCAGUAUCGAUGGGGACCUGGUUCUUUUCCACUGUCAGCAUCCCGAGAGAGAGGCAGUGACCACGGAAGAGCUUCUAUGUAUUUCUCUCUUUGUGGAAGUGAACCCACAAAGGAAAGAAUCCUUUUGUAUAGCCAGGGCCUAACAUUAUCAUUAUGUAGUUGAAAAGUUCUUGAAUGAAUAAGAUAAAUGAAUAAAUGAAUGAAUAAAUGAAUCUCCAGACCAAACCUAGAGAUUUUAUGAGCAGAAUCAAAAGCGUAAUUGUUGAGGACCUUUUGUUGGAAACAUCAGUGCUAUUUUGCUAAGCUCUGAAAUGCUUAAACUAUUAUGUAAUAAAAAUGAUCCUUCUCAAAAAUGGUGAUGUUUUGGAAAAAAGUGAAGUGUGUAUUCCUUGCUGGUGGUGUUAUCAAUUGAUAAAUCCUUUCAAAGCUAUGGCUCUCUAUAGGAAAACCACAGAGAUUCAUGUCCAUUGCCUUAGAAAUCUUCUCUUUUGCAAACACUUGAACACUCUAGAAGAAGCUAAACAUAAACAUUUUCAUUAUACUCUUUUUUUUUUUUGGUACUGGGUAUCAAACUUGGUACACUGCGCUUGUGAGGCAGGCGACGACGGCACCACUGAGCUAAAUCCUCGGCCCAUAUUACAAUCAAUUUUGAC